This 493-nucleotide ribosomal RNA is filed under the name uncultured bacterium. RNAcentral's name for it is "partial 16S ribosomal RNA". It matches the Rfam family "Bacterial small subunit ribosomal RNA", at positions 27 to 507 of the family's 1533-position model. The record is from RNAcentral.
GAGUGAACGCUGGCGGUAGGCCUAACACAUGCAAGUCGAACGGCAGCACAGUAAGAGCUUGCUCUUACGGGUGGCGAGUGGCGGACGGGUGAGGAAUACAUCGGAAUCUACUUUUUCGUGGGGGAUAACGUAGGGAAACUUACGCUAAUACCGCAUACGACCUACGGGUGAAAGCAGGGGAUCUUCGGACCUUGCGCGAUUGAAUGAGCCGAUGUCGGAUUAGCUAGUUGGCGGGGUAAAGGUCCACCAAGGCGACGAUCCGUAGCUGGUCUGAGAGGAUGAUCAGCCACACUGGAACUGAGACACGGUCCAGACUCCUACGGGAGGCAGCAGUGGGGAAUAUUGGACAAUGGGCGCAAGCCUGAUCCAGCCAUACCGCGUGGGUGAAGAAGGCCUUCGGGUUGUAAAGCCCUUUUGUUGGGAAAGAAAAGCAGCAGGUUAAUACCCCGCUGUUCUGACGGUACCCAAAGAAUAAGCACCGGCUAACUUCGUG